Small nuclear RNA from Bison bison bison, 107 nucleotides. Lineage: Eukaryota; Metazoa; Chordata; Mammalia; Artiodactyla; Bovidae. The record is from Ensembl.
GUGCUCACUUCAGCGGCACCUAUACCAAAAUUAGAAUGACAUAGGAAAGGUUAGCAUGGCUAAGGAGUAAGGAUGAUAUGCAAAUUUGUGAAGCGCUCCAUAUUUUU